GAGUUUGAUCUUGGCUCAGAGUGAACGCUGGCGGCAGGCCUAACACAUGCAAGUCGAACGGCAGCGGGUCCUUCGGGAUGCCGGCGAGUGGCGGACGGGUGAGGAAUGCGUCGGAAUCUGCCUCUUUGUGGGGGAUAACGUAGGGAAACUUACGCUAAUACCGCAUACGACCUACGGGUGAAAGCCGGGGACCUUCGGGCCUGGCGCAGAGAGAUGAGCCGACGCCGGAUUAGCUAGUUGGCGGGGUAAAGGCCCACCAAGGCGACGAUCCGUAGCUGGUCUGAGAGGAUGAUCAGCCACACUGGAACUGAGACACGGUCCAGACUCCUACGGGAGGCAGCAGUGGGGAAUAUUGGACAAUGGGCGCAAGCCUGAUCCAGCCAUGCCGCGUGUGUGAAGAAGGCCUUCGGUUGUAA
Molecule: ribosomal RNA, 416 nt
Filed under: uncultured Gammaproteobacteria bacterium
Lineage: Bacteria; Pseudomonadati; Pseudomonadota; Gammaproteobacteria
Description: bacterial SSU rRNA
Rfam family: Bacterial small subunit ribosomal RNA
Source: RNAcentral